CCAACUUGAAUGGUUUUAGUCGAGCCAUCAUCGUUGAGAGGCACAGAGAUGAGUUGCUCUGCGGGUUCUCCCUGGCUUUCUUCUUCUCUCUGAUCCAAGCUGUUGAUGGGAAGAGCUUCAGUAGACCUCUUUUCCUUAAUUACUGUCAAGUAAUAUUGUCGGGCCAGUUGUUGAUCUCCUCUCAUUUCACCAGUCCCAUUCCUCAUCAAAGAGCAUACG
Molecule: long non-coding RNA, 219 nt
Filed under: Elaeis guineensis (African oil palm)
Lineage: Eukaryota; Viridiplantae; Streptophyta; Magnoliopsida; Arecales; Arecaceae
Description: long non-coding RNA (EGUI_LNC072380)
Source: RNAcentral